This is a long non-coding RNA of Gopherus evgoodei (Goodes thornscrub tortoise), 265 nucleotides long. RefSeq lists it as uncharacterized. The record is from RefSeq and is a predicted model, not a curated record. The transcript has 3 exons. Lineage: Eukaryota; Metazoa; Chordata; Testudines; Testudinidae.
AACUGAAACAUACUGUGACGCUGACAGAGACGGCUGUUGCUGCAAGACAGAAGAAUUUUGGAGCACAGCAACUGUAGGUAAUGUUGAAAAACAACCAUGAUAAGGGCAAGACUCUCUGGCCAGAUUACAUUUCCCAUGAUGAACUGCAUUCAUAGGACUCCCAGGAUGAACUUUGGCAGCUCAGCAAGAAGAGGCAGAACAUGCAGCUGGGAAUUUCUGAGAUCAAAUCCCAGCUCUGGCACUGAUUUCCCCUCUACAGAACUGG